AUUGAACGCUGGCGGCAUGCCUUACACAUGCAAGUCGAACGGUAACAGGUUAAGCUGACGAGUGGCGAACGGGUGAGUAAUGUAUCGGAACGUGCCCAGUCGUGGGGGAUAACUGCUCGAAAGAGCAGCUAAUACCGCAUACGACCUGAGGGUGAAAGCGGGGGAUCGCAAGACCUCGCGCGAUUGGAGCGGCCGAUAUCAGAUUAGGUAGUUGGUGGGGUAAAGGCCUACCAAGCCUACGAUCUGUAGCUGGUCUGAGAGGACGACCAGCCACACUGGGACUGAGACACGGCCCAGACUCCUACGGGAGGCAGCAGUGGGGAAUUUUGGACAAUGGACGCAAGUCUGAUCCAGCCAUGCCGCGUGCGGGAAGAAGGCCUUCGGGUUGUAAACCGCCUUCGUCAGGGAAGAAAAGGUUCUGGUUAAUACCUGGGACUCAUGACGGUACCUGAAGAAUAAGCACCGGCUAACUACGUGCCAGCCGCCGCCGUAA
Molecule: ribosomal RNA, 493 nt
Filed under: uncultured bacterium
Lineage: Bacteria
Description: partial 16S ribosomal RNA
Rfam family: Bacterial small subunit ribosomal RNA
Source: RNAcentral